UACGUAGGGGGCUAGCGUUGUCCGGAAUCAUUGGGCGUAAAGCGCGUGUAGGCGGUCCGGUAAGUCCGCUGUGAAAGUCGGGGGCUCAACCCUCGGAUGCCGGUGGAUACUGUCGGGCUUGAGUACGGAAGAGGCGAGUGGAAUUCCUGGUGUAGCGGUGAAAUGCGCAGAUAUCAGGAGGAACACCAGUGGCGAAGGCGGCUUUCUGGACGGUAACUGACGCUGAGACGCGAAAGCGUGGGGAGCAAACAGG
Molecule: ribosomal RNA, 253 nt
Filed under: uncultured bacterium
Lineage: Bacteria
Description: partial 16S ribosomal RNA
Rfam family: Bacterial small subunit ribosomal RNA
Source: RNAcentral